Molecule: long non-coding RNA, 1422 nt
Filed under: Gallus gallus (chicken)
Lineage: Eukaryota; Metazoa; Chordata; Aves; Galliformes; Phasianidae
Source: RNAcentral
GUGGCUUUUAGGUUCAUUUUCCUAUGCUGCUUACAUCUGCAAUACUGAAUUUCCAGUAUCUUGUUUCUUGUUAUAUAGAAUUAAGCAAUUCCAAAGCUUCUUUCUGUACCUGUUUGUCCUCUUCUGUAUGUGCAGGAUACUCCUUCGCUUUGCUUAACCACAGAAGAGCCAUCUUUUUGUUGUUUAACUUCAGGUAUGUCUUCCCCAGAAAGAGCAAAUUUUUGCUGUAGAAAUUUGGGUCAGCUGUACAGAGACAGGAAAAGCAUUCCAUGAUAAUGAGCAGCAUACUACCAAAGCCACGAUAUAGCAUCAUGCCUUUAAACCCUUAUUUCAGAAAAAGAUUAAUAGUGUUUUGGCUUUGGAUCAAAAGGAACACAGUGUAAAACUAUAACACUUUCUAGACUUUGGUUUCCUACAUGGUUAUGUUAGCUAGCAUAUUUUGCACAAUAAUAAAGUACACAUAGGCAGGUAAAUGCCUGGCUGUAGAAAAAGUGCAGUUUGAUAAUGGUGACAGAGGCUGAGAGCAGCAGUACUGCCUGCUCCCCUCUUCCAGCAGGCGGACCCACUCUGUGGUGUGCUUCAGUAGUAAGCUGCAACUCUACCUUUAGCACUGCUGUAUACUCCAAUACUUGUUAGAUUUUUUCAGUCAUUGACUAUUACUCUGUUCUUAACAUUUCAAAUUCAAGCGGACAAAAAUCAUAGCUGCACAAAAGGACACACAUCAGUUAAAAAAAAAGUAAAUAAAUAUAUAUAUAAUACUGUAAUAUAUAAUAAUAUAAAAUAUACAGAUUGCUCCAAAAGCAAUGCCUUAUUUAUUUCUAUGGAAACUACAACAAAGACCACAGUAACACUAUUUGAUAGCUAGCUACAAAACACUAUUUUUCCCACAUGUCACUACCAUUAUUUAGGGCCACAAAAACGAUUAGGGGUCUGGAGGAUCUCCCAUACAAGGAAAGACUGAGGGACCUGAAACUGUUCAUCCUGGAGAAGACUGAGAGGGGAUCUCAUCAAUACUUAUACAGAUCUCAGGUGCGGGAAUCAAAUGGAUAGGACCAGGCUCUUUUCAGUUGUGCCUGGCAAUGGGACAAGGGACAACAGGCAAAAAACACAACACAGGAGGUUCCAUACAAACACGUGAAACAACUUCCCUACCAUGAGGAUAACAGAGCACUGGUACAGGCUGCCCAGAGAGACAGCAGAGUCUCCUCUGGAGAUAUUCAAGACCUGUCCGGGAAUUCUUCCUGUGUAACCUACUGCAGGGAACCUGCUUUAGCAGGGGGUUGGACUCCAUGAUCUCCAGAGGUCCCUUCCAACAUCUACUGUGAUUAGCUGUGCAUUUUCACCAGUAAUGAACAAGACCCUACAUGCCAUGUUUGUAAAAAUCUGCACCAGCAGAGGUGACCACUGCGCCACUGCAGAAAC